RNAcentral lists this ribosomal RNA (279 nucleotides) under uncultured bacterium. Its description in RNAcentral is "partial 16S ribosomal RNA". It matches the Rfam family "Bacterial small subunit ribosomal RNA", at positions 506 to 784 of the family's 1533-position model. The record is from RNAcentral.
UGCCAGCCGCCGCGGUAAAACGUAGGACGCAAGCGUUAUCCGGAAUUACUGGGCGUAAAGCGCGCGCAGGCGGGUUAUCAAGUCAUGUGUGAAAGCUCCCGGCUAAACUGGGAGAGGUCAGAUGAUACUGAUAGCCUGGAGUGCAUCAGAGGUAAGUGGAAUUCCGCGUGUAGUGGUGAAAUGCGUAGAUAUGCGGAGGAACACCAGUGGCGAAGGCGGCUUACUGGGAUGCAACUGACGCUGAGGCGCGAAAGCAUGGGUAGCGAACGGGAUUAGAUA